GUGAACGCCGGCGGUAGGCCUAACACAUGCCAGUCGAACGGCAGCACAGUAAGAGCUUGCUCUUACGGGUGGCGAGUGGCGGACGGGUGAGGAAUACAUCGGAAUCUACUUUUUCGUGGGGGAUAACGUAGGGAAACUUACGCUAAUACCGCAUACGACCUACGGGUGAAAGCAGGGGAUCUUCGGACCUUGCGCGAUUGAAUGAGCCGAUGUCGGAUUAGCUAGUUGGCGGGGUAAAGGCCCACCAAGGCGACGAUCCGUAGCUGGUCUGAGAGGAUGAUCAGCCACACUGGAACUGAGACACGGUCCAGACUCCUACGGGAGGCAGCAGUGGGGAAUAUUGGACAAUGGGCGCAAGCCUGAUCCAGCCAUACCGCGUGGGUGAAGAAGGCCUUCGGGUUGUAAAGCCCUUUUGUUGGGAAAGAAAAGCAGCAGGUUAAUACCCCGCUGUUCUGACGGUACCCAAAGAAUAAGCACCGGCUAACUUCGUG
This 491-nucleotide ribosomal RNA is filed under the name uncultured bacterium. RNAcentral describes it as "partial 16S ribosomal RNA". It matches the Rfam family "Bacterial small subunit ribosomal RNA", at positions 29 to 507 of the family's 1533-position model. The record is from RNAcentral.